ACAGAGGAGACAGGUGGUGCAUGGUUGUCGUCAGCUCGUGUCGUGAGAUGUUGGGUUAAGUCCCGCAACGAGCGCAACCCCUAUCCCCAGUAGCCAGCAUUAAAGGUGGGCACUCUGAGGAGACUGCCAGGGAUAACCUGGAGGAAGGCGGGGAUGACGUCAAAUCAUCAUGCCCCUUAUGAUUUGGGCUACACACGUGCUACAAUGGCGUAAACAAAGGGAAGCAGAGCGGUGACGCCGAGCAAAUCCCAAAAAUAACGUCCCAGUUCGGACUGCAGUCUGCAACUCGACUGCACGAAGCUGGAAUCGCUAGUAAUCGCGGAUCAGAAUGCCGCGGUGAAUACGUUCCCGGGUCUUGUUACACACCGA
RNAcentral lists this ribosomal RNA (369 nucleotides) under uncultured bacterium. Its description in RNAcentral is "bacterial SSU rRNA". It matches the Rfam family "Bacterial small subunit ribosomal RNA", at positions 1025 to 1393 of the family's 1533-position model. The record is from RNAcentral.